Molecule: long non-coding RNA, 811 nt
Filed under: Canis lupus familiaris (dog)
Lineage: Eukaryota; Metazoa; Chordata; Mammalia; Carnivora; Canidae
Description: lncRNA (ENSCAFG00030003378.1)
Source: RNAcentral
UAGCUCACUAAUUUACUCUUAAUCCUAGUUCAUUUUGCUAUAUAUCUCACCUUUUGAAUUCAUUUUUAUUUCCAUGUUCUUUGGAUUUUUUUUCAUAAAAUACUCUUCUAAUUUUAUAGAAACUGUAAACAUAUCCAUACACUUUCAUUAUAGACCUAGUCUGUUCGCUCUAUUAAAUAUUCUUUCCAUAUGUUAGUUUUCUACUUUUUGAAUUGGAGUUCUUUCUUUGGUAGUUUUGGUUUUCCUCAAAUAUUUAUAGAUUCUUAGUUUCUAUGUGUGUAUUUUUCAGGAAUGUUCCCUGUUUGCCUGCUUGUGGAUGCAUGUUUUGACUACAGAAGCUAGUCUUUGGAGAGAUACAAGUACUACAAAACAUGGCUUCCCUGGAAGAGAUUGCAACUAUAUCUGAACUAAAGCACUUGACCAAGAAUCUUCUAUGUGCUGAUACAAAAACAGAAAUACAAAAAUAUCACAUGGCAUUUCCACUCUUACUAGAAGCACCAAGAAUCUCAGAGGCUCUCGUGUCAGCCCAGCAUCUGUAUUCAUUUCCAUGAGUCCAAGAUGCAUAACACAGACCCAGACCUGUAGACUUGCAGCAGUACCACCUGUCCUGUCAAUCCAUGAGAAUCAGUGAUUGGUGAGUAGCCACCACGAUUUUUUGGGUUGCUUGUUACAUAGCAUUAUUGUAGCAGUUGUUAACCAAUAUGAUAAGGGACUUUGAUGGACCAAAGUUUGUUUUGAAAUGACUAUUUACAAAAUGUUGAACUUAGGCUUAAUAUAUUGUUGCUAUUUUCAGUUUUAAUAUUAAAUAUGU